Molecule: ribosomal RNA, 810 nt
Filed under: uncultured bacterium
Lineage: Bacteria
Description: bacterial SSU rRNA
Rfam family: Bacterial small subunit ribosomal RNA
Source: RNAcentral
AGAGUUUGAUCAUGGCUCAGGACGAACGCUGGCGGCGUGCCUAACACAUGCAAGUCGAGCGGAGAUGCAUUGAAGAUUUAUCGGAUAUGUAUCUUAGCGGCGGACGGGUGAGUAACGCGUGGGUAAUCUGCCUCACACAGGGGGAUAACACUGGGAAACUAGUGCUAAUACCGCAUAACAUAACGAGGUGGCAUCACUUUGUUAUCAAAGGAGCAAUCCGGUGUGAGAUGAGCCCGCGUCCGAUUAGCUAGUUGGUGAGGUAACGGCUCACCAAGGCGACGAUCGGUAGCCGAACUGAGAGGUUGAUCGGCCACAUUGGGACUGAGACACGGCCCAGACUCCUACGGGAGGCAGCAGUGGGGAAUAUUGCGCAAUGGGGGAAACCCUAACGCAGCAACGCCGCGUGAAGGAUGAAGGUCUUCGGAUUGUAAACUUCUUUGGUUGGGGACGAUAAUGACGGUACCCAAGGAACAAGCCACGGCUAACUACGUGCCAGCAGCCGCGGUAAUACGUAGGUGGCGAGCGUUGUCCGGAAUUACUGGGUGUAAAGGGCGCGUAGGCGGGGAUGCAAGUCAGAUGUGAAAUUCCGGGGCUCAACCCCGGCGCUGCAUCUGAAACUGUAUUUCUUGAGUGCUGGAGAGGAAAGCGGAAUUCCUAGUGUAGCGGUGAAAUGCGUAGAGAUUAGGAGGAACACCAGUGGCGAAGGCGGCUUUCUGGACAGUAACUGACGCUGAGGCGCGAAAGCGUGGGGAGCAAACAGGAUUAGAUACCCGGGUAGUCCUAGCCGUAAACGAUGGGUGCUAGGUGUUG